GGCUCGUUGGUCCAGGGGUAUGAUUCUUGCCUUGGGCGCGAGAGGCCCCGGGUUCAGAUCCCGGACAAGCCC
Transfer RNA from Loxodonta africana (African savanna elephant), 72 nucleotides. It matches the Rfam family "tRNA". Rfam says of the family: Transfer RNA (tRNA) molecules are approximately 80 nucleotides in length. Their secondary structure includes four short double-helical elements and three loops (D, anti-codon, and T loops). Further hydrogen bonds mediate the characteristic L-shaped molecular structure. tRNAs have two regions of fundamental functional importance: the anti-codon, which is responsible for specific mRNA codon recognition, and the 3' end, to which the tRNAs corresponding amino acid is attached (by aminoacyl-tRNA synthetases). tRNAs cope with the degeneracy of the genetic code in two manners: having more than one tRNA (with a specific anti-codon) for a particular amino acid; and 'wobble' base-pairing, i.e. permitting non-standard base-pairing at the 3rd anti-codon position. The record is from Rfam. Lineage: Eukaryota; Metazoa; Chordata; Mammalia; Proboscidea; Elephantidae.